RNAcentral lists this ribosomal RNA (696 nucleotides) under uncultured cyanobacterium. RNAcentral's name for it is "bacterial SSU rRNA". It matches the Rfam family "Bacterial small subunit ribosomal RNA", at positions 66 to 804 of the family's 1533-position model. The record is from RNAcentral. Lineage: Bacteria; Bacillati; Cyanobacteriota.
ACGGUCCUUUCGGGGAUAGUGGCGGACGGGUGAGUAACGCGUGAGAAUCUGCCUUCAGGACGGGAACAACAACUGGAAACGGUUGCUAAAGCCCGAUGUGCCUUUCGGGGUGAAAUACUUGUAGCCUGAAGAUGAGCUCGCGUCCGAUUAGCUAGUUGGUGGAGUAAUGGUUUACCAAGGCGACGAUCGGUAACUGGUCUGAGAGGAUGACCAGUCACACUGGGACUGAGACACGGCCCAGACUCCUACGGGAGGCAGCAGUGGGGAAUUUUCCGCAAUGGGCGAAAGCCUGACGGAGCAAUACCGCGUGAGGGAGGAAGGCUCUUGGGUCGUAAACCUCUUUUAUCAGGGAAGAAACAAAUGACGGUACCUGAUGAAUCAGCAUCGGCUAACUCCGUGCCAGCAGCCGCGGUAAUACGGAGGAUGCAAGCGUUAUCCGGAAUUAUUGGGCGUAAAGCGUCCGCAGGUGGUUUUGAAAGUUUGCUGUCAAAGCGCGGAGCUUAACUUCGUACCGGCAGUGAAAACUCCAAGACUAGAGUUUGGUAGGGGUCACGGGAAUUCCCAGUGUAGCGGUGAAAUGCGUAGAGAUUGGGAAGAACACCAGCGGCGAAAGCGCGUGACUGGGCCUGAACUGACACUCAUGGACGAAAGCUAGGGGAGCGAAAGGGAUUAGAUACCCCUGUAGUCCUAGCCGUA